AAAUGUGUCGGCAAUAGAUAAUAGUUGCUCAUAUUGGUCAUGUGGACGAGAGUGGCGCAACUUGUAGACAAAACUCAACAACAAUUAUUUUUUAAGAUAAAGAUAAAGAUAAAGAUUCUUUAAUUAUUUGCUCACUUCCUGUUAUUCAUUGCAUGCUGCUCUAAAACUCUACAAAAAUCGAUCUGCUUGCUUUGUGUUCUUUUUUGAUCUUUGAAGAAUGGCUGAACAAAUUCCAUAUGCUGUUGCUGCAAGCCUAGUUAACAGGUUGGCUUCUGCUGCUUUUCGUGAGUUUGGACGGAUUUAUGGUGUUAUGGAUCAGUUGGAAAGGCUUAAGAGUACAGUUGAAUCCAUCAGAGCUGUGCUCCUUGAUGCUGAGGAGAAACAACAGAAAAGUCAUGCUGUGCAAAUUUGGAUAAAAAGACUCAAAGAUGAUGUACUUCAUCCUGCUGAUAACUUGCUAGAUGAAUUUCUUAUUGAAGAUAUGAGACACAAAAUGGAUGAAUCUCAUAAGAACAAAGUGAGUCAGGUACUUCAUUCUUUAUCUCCAAAUAGAAUUGCUUUUCGCCGAAAAAUGGCUCAUGAGAUUGAAAAAAUACAAAAAAAACUUAAUGAUGUGGUGAAAGAUAUGUCUAGCUUGAAUCUUAACCACAAUAUUGUUGCGGUUGAGCAAAGUAACACUAUAAGGAGGGAAACGAGUUCUUUUGUGUCACAAUCAGAUAUCAUCGGAAGAGAAGACAAUAAAAAUGAGAUUAUAAGCUUGUUGAGGCAAUCACAUGAAAAUCAACAUAUCUCUGUGGUUGCUAUUGUUGGGAUUGGUGGUUUGGGAAAGACUGCUCUUGCUCAAUUGGUAUAUAAUGAUGGUGAAAUAAAAAAUAUUUUUGAAAAUAUUAUGUGGGUAUGUGUCUCUGAUAACUUUGAUGUCAAAACUAUUCUCAAGAACAUGUUGGAGUCAUUAACAAAGAGCAAAAUUGAUGAACCGUUAUCAUUGGACAACUUGCAAAAUAUGUUUCGUGACAAAUUAACUAGUCAGAGAUACUUGUUAGUUUUGGAUGACAUUUGGAAUGAGAGUUUUGAAAAAUGGGCUCAAUUGAGGACUUACUUGAUGUGCGGUGCUCAAGGCAGUAAGAUUUUAGUGACAACUCGUAGUAAAACCGUGGCACAGACAAUGGGUGUAAGUGACCCCUAUGUUUUGAAUGGUUUGACUCAAGAAGAAUCAUGGGGUUUGUUAAAGAAGAUUACGUUUGGGCACGAUACUAUUGAAGUGAAUCGGUCUCUUGAAUCAAUUGGUAAGAAGAUGGCAAAAAAGUGCAGUGGCGUUCCACUAGCAAUCAGAACACUAGGAGGCCUACUACAGGGUAAAAUUGAAGAAAGAGAAUGGAUUGAUGUUUUACAAGGUGACUUUUGGAAAUCAUGUGAAGACGAAGAAAGCAUCAUGCCAGUGUUGAAACGAAGUUACCAAAACUUGUCGCCUCAACUGAGACAAUGUUUUGCCUACUGCUCUUUAUAUCCCAAGGAUUCGAUAAUACAGAAGGACGAGUUGAUUCAUCUUUGGAUGGCGCAAGGUUAUUUUGAAUGUUCAGGUGGAAAGAAGCUCAUGGAAGAUAUCGGUGAGGAAUUCGUAAAUACUUUCUUGAUGAAGUCAUUUUUCCAAGAUGCUCAACUUGGUUUUUUUGGUGAUAUAGUUCGUUUCAAAAUGCAUGAUUUAAUACAUGAUCUUGCAAUGCAAGUUGCCGGCAAUGAUUGUUGUUACUUGGAAAGCGAGACAAAAAGACCUGUAGGAAGUCCCAUGCAUGUAAUGUUGAAAAGUGAUGAUAUUGGUUUGCUAGAAUCAGUGGAUGCAAGUAGGAUGCGAACUUUGAUUUUGUUGUCCAGUCAUGAUUGGAUUAUGAAUGAGAAGGAAUUGUCUAUUAUUUUAAAAUUCAAAUACUUACGCGUCUUGAAGUUGUCAUAUUGUUCUUUAAGUAAGUCGUGUGAUUCAAUCGCAAAAUUGAAGCAUUUAAGAUAUAUUGAAUUAUGGAACUGCAAAGGACUAGGAAGUCUUUCCAAAUUCAUAAGUUAUCAUGUUUGCUUACAAACAAUAAUAUCAAAGGAAUGUAAAGAGGUUGAAUUUUCUGCAAAAGAUAUCUCAAAAUUAAUCAAUUUGAGACAUUUUCAUAUUGAAAAUUUGAAAGCCUCUGAAAAGAAGAAGACAGCGUCUCAAUUUGGAAAAUUGGGUGUGGGGGGACAGUAUAAUAUUUUUUCAAAGUUUUUUCUUUCACUCACAAAUAUUGUUCGAAUCUCUCUCGAAGGUUGUCAUGGUUUGAAGUAUCUCCCACCAAUGGAACGUCUCCCGUUUCUUAAGUCAGUUACUAUAUGUUAUCUUCGUGAAUUGGAAGUCAUAUAUUAUGAAGAGCCUCUUUUAUCGGAAUCAUUUUUCCCAUCCUUGGAGGAACUCACAAUUAGCGAUUGUCAUGAGCUGAGGGGAUGGAGUAGGAUGAGGGAUGAUGUCAAUGAUGAUGAUGAUGAUAUCUCUUCACAGUCAUACCAUCUCUCCUUUCCUCGUCUUUCUGAAUUAGAGAUACAGUGUUGUUCAAAGUUGACUCACAUGCCUACUUUUCCAAAACUUGACAAGAGAUUGAUAUUACUACAUGCUAGAGUGGAGCCAUUGGAAAUAACAUUAAAGUGUUCGAUUGAAUUACCUCCUCUUUCCAUGCUAAAAAACUUGGCAGUUGGCGGAGAUGAUCUAGAUGUGAAAAAACUCCCAAAGAAUUGUCUGCAAAAUCUGAUUUCUCUUGAGGAAUUAUUUUUAGAUGGGCUUCCAAGUCAAACAAUUCAGGAAAUUGAAAUUUUGUUUAUGGACGACCUCAACUAUCUUCCUUCAUUGCGAAAUAUUAUGUUUCGUUUUUGUCAUGAUCUAAAGGCAUUGCCAGAUUGGAUUUGCAACCUCUCAUCACUUCAGUAUAUGGGCAUCGAUUUCUGUGAAAAUUUGGAUUCACUGCCUAAAGGAAUGCCUCGCCUUGCCAAAUUGCAGACCCUAGAUAUCCUUGAGUGUUCCCUUUUAAUUGAUGAAUGUGAGACACAAACAAGUGCAACAUGGCCCAAAAUUGCUCACAUCCCAAACAUAAUCUUAAAAAGGUUUGAAAUAUUUUAUUUUAAAACUUGCAAUUUCUUUUCACUUAUCCAUGCGUUAUCUUUUGCUGUUUUAAGUUUAGAUUCAGAAUUUUAAAGUGUUCUUUUAAGUGCAAAGACUCAUUGUUGACUGUUGACAGGAAUUGGAGGAUUGAAAAUGGGAUCAAUUUCACUAGGUAACUAACUGUCAAGCUAUGUAUCCAAGCUGGUCAGGUUAUGAUGCCCAGUUAUCCAAAAGAAGCUAUGUGCAUGGUGCUCUUAUGGUAUUUUAUUGGUGUUGUAUUGGUACUUUAUUUCGAAGUAGUCUAUGUUAUGCGAUGGUAUCUUAUUCAAACUUUGUUGAUGCUUUAAUUAUUGGUUGUAAGAAGUUGUUGUACAUUUUAUCUAAGCCUCUACAUUUCAUUACUUUGGAAUUAAUGGAGCAAAUAGCUAAAGAACAUUUCACUGCUUUUGGAUCAA
This is an RNA transcript of Trifolium pratense (red clover), 3567 nucleotides long. It is a transcript of the gene named disease resistance protein RGA2-like, with no coding region annotated. The transcript has 3 exons. The record is from RefSeq and is a predicted model, not a curated record. NCBI's taxonomy places the organism in Eukaryota, Viridiplantae, Streptophyta, Magnoliopsida, Fabales, Fabaceae.